UGGGGAAUCUUAGACAAUGGGGGCAACCCUGAUCUAGCCAUGCCGCGUGGAUGAUGAAGGCCUUAGGGUCGUAAAGUCCUUUCGCUGGGGAAGAUAAUGACGGUACCCAGUAAAGAAACCCCGGCUAACUCCGUGCCAGCAGCCGCGGUAAUACGGAGGGGGUUAGCGUUGUUCGGAUUUACUGGGCGUAAAGCGCGCGUAGGCGGAUCAGAAAGUUGGGGGUGAAAUCCCGGGGCUCAACCCCGGAAUUGCCUUCAAAACUCCUGGUCUUGAGUUCGAGAGAGGUGAGUGGAAUUCCGAGUGUAGAGGUGAAAUUCGUAGAUAUUCGGAGGAACACCAGUGGCGAAGGCGGCUCACUGGCUCGAAACUGACGCUGAGGUGCGAAAGCGUGGGGAGCAAACAGG
Molecule: ribosomal RNA, 404 nt
Filed under: uncultured Paracoccaceae bacterium
Lineage: Bacteria; Pseudomonadati; Pseudomonadota; Alphaproteobacteria; Rhodobacterales; Paracoccaceae
Description: bacterial SSU rRNA
Rfam family: Bacterial small subunit ribosomal RNA
Source: RNAcentral